ACGAGGUGGAAUGAAGAAAAAGACAAACUUAUUUUGUGGAAGGUGGUGAUGCUGGCAACAGGGAAGACCAGAUAAACAGGCUUAUUAGACGGAUGAACUAAGGUGUUGCCUGUGGUAUUUUUGUAAUCUGGUCAGUUAAUAAACAGUCACAGCUUGGCAAACUGAAA
Molecule: non-coding RNA, 167 nt
Organism: Cricetulus griseus (Chinese hamster)
Lineage: Eukaryota; Metazoa; Chordata; Mammalia; Rodentia; Cricetidae
Source: RefSeq, a predicted model, not a curated record